GAUGAACGCUAGCUACAGGCUUAACACAUGCAAGUCGCGGGGCAGCAUGGGGGUUGCUUGCAAUCCCUGAUGGCGACCGGCGCACGGGUGAGUAACGCGUAUCCAACCUGCCCUUCACCACGGGAUAACCCGGCGAAAGUCGGACUAAUACCGUAUGUUGUCCAUUGACGGCAUCCGAUUUGGACGAAAGGCUUAGCGGUGAGGGAUGGGGAUGCGUCCGAUUAGCUUGACGGCGGGGUAACGGCCCACCGUGGCAACGAUCGGUAGGGGUUCUGAGAGGAAGGUCCCCCACACUGGAACUGAGACACGGUCCAGACUCCUACGGGAGGCAGCAGUGAGGAAUAUUGGUCAAUGGGCGGAAGCCUGAACCAGCCAAGUAGCGUGCAGGAUGACGGCCCUAUGGGUUGUAAACUGCUUUUAUGCGGGGAUAAAGGAGCCCACGU
RNAcentral lists this ribosomal RNA (443 nucleotides) under Prevotella sp. oral taxon 317. RNAcentral describes it as "bacterial SSU rRNA". It matches the Rfam family "Bacterial small subunit ribosomal RNA", at positions 28 to 461 of the family's 1533-position model. The record is from RNAcentral. Lineage: Bacteria; Pseudomonadati; Bacteroidota; Bacteroidia; Bacteroidales; Prevotellaceae.